RNAcentral lists this ribosomal RNA (973 nucleotides) under Enterobacter ludwigii. Its description in RNAcentral is "bacterial SSU rRNA". It matches the Rfam family "Bacterial small subunit ribosomal RNA", at positions 73 to 1041 of the family's 1533-position model. Lineage: Bacteria; Pseudomonadati; Pseudomonadota; Gammaproteobacteria; Enterobacterales; Enterobacteriaceae. The record is from RNAcentral.
AAGUAGCUUGCUACUUGCCGGCGAGCGGCGGACGGGUGAGUAAUGUCUGGGAAACUGCUGAUGGAGGGGGAUAACUACUGGAAACGGUAGCUAAUACCGCAUAACGUCGCAAGACCAAAGAGGGGGACUUUCGGGCCUCUUGCCAUCAGAUGUGCCCAGAUGGGAUUAGCUAGUAGGUGGGGUAACGGCUCACCUAGGCGACGAUCCCUAGCUGGUCUGAGAGGAUGACCAGCCACACUGGAACUGAGACACGGUCCAGACUCCUACGGGAGGCAGCAGUGGGGAAUAUUGCACAAUGGGCGCAAGCCUGAUGCAGCCAUGCCGCGUGUAUGAAGAAGGCCUUCGGGUUGUAAAGUACUUUCAGCGGGGAGGAAGGCGUUGAGGUUAAUAACCUCAGCGAUUGACGUUACCCGCAGAAGAAGCACCGGCUAACUCCGUGCCAGCAGCCGCGGUAAUACGGAGGGUGCAAGCGUUAAUCGGAAUUACUGGGCGUAAAGCGCACGCAGGCGGUCUGUCAAGUCGGAUGUGAAAUCCCCGGGCUCAACCUGGGAACUGCAUUCGAAACUGGCAGGCUAGAGUCUUGUAGAGGGGGGUAGAAUUCCAGGUGUAGCGGUGAAAUGCGUAGAGAUCUGGAGGAAUACCGGUGGCGAAGGCGGCCCCCUGGACAAAGACUGACGCUCAGGUGCGAAAGCGUGGGGAGCAAACAGGAUUAGAUACCCUGGUAGUCCACGCCGUAAACGAUGUCGACUUGGAGGUUGUGCCCUUGAGGCGUGGCUUCCGGAGCUAACGCGUUAAGUCGACUGCCUGGGGAGUACGGCCGCAAGGUUAAAACUCAAAUGAAUUGACGGGGGCCCGCACAAGCGGUGGAGCAUGUGGUUUAAUUCGAUGCAACGCGAAGAACCUUACCUACUCUUGACAUCCAGAGAACUUAGCAGAGAUGCUUUGGUGCCUUCGGGAACUCUGAGACAGGUGC